RNAcentral lists this small nucleolar RNA (127 nucleotides) under Octodon degus (degu). Its description in RNAcentral is "Small nucleolar RNA U109 (ENSODEG00000024758.1)". It matches the Rfam family "Small nucleolar RNA U109". Lineage: Eukaryota; Metazoa; Chordata; Mammalia; Rodentia; Octodontidae. The record is from Rfam by way of RNAcentral.
UAGCAAUGAAAACUAAAUGAUACCUCGCUUUGGGGUGGAAGUGCAUCCGUAACAUGCUACAUGAAUAAAGGACUUCUCAGGGCUGCCAACCUUAGAGGUUGAGUGGUAGUAUAUUUCUCCUACACAG